AGCGAACGCUGGCGGCAGGCUUAACACAUGCAAGUCGAGCGGGCGUAGCAAUACGUCAGCGGCAGACGGGUGAGUAACGCGUGGGAACGUACCUUUUGGUUCGGAACAACACAGGGAAACUUGUGCUAAUACCGGAUAAGCCCUUACGGGGAAAGAUUUAUCGCCGAAAGAUCGGCCCGCGUCUGAUUAGCUAGUUGGUGAGGUAACGGCUCACCAAGGCGACGAUCAGUAGCUGGUCUGAGAGGAUGAUCAGCCACAUUGGGACUGAGACACGGCCCAAACUCCUACGGGAGGCAGCAGUGGGGAAUAUUGGACAAUGGGGGCAACCCUGAUCCAGUCAUGCCGCGUGAGUGAUGAAGGCCCUAGGGUUGUAAAGCUCGUUUGUGCGGGAAGAUAAUGACGGUACCGAAAGAAUAAGCCCCGGCUAACUUCGUG
RNAcentral lists this ribosomal RNA (435 nucleotides) under uncultured bacterium. RNAcentral's name for it is "partial 16S ribosomal RNA". It matches the Rfam family "Bacterial small subunit ribosomal RNA", at positions 29 to 507 of the family's 1533-position model. The record is from RNAcentral.